Molecule: ribosomal RNA, 534 nt
Filed under: Pseudomonas putida
Lineage: Bacteria; Pseudomonadati; Pseudomonadota; Gammaproteobacteria; Pseudomonadales; Pseudomonadaceae
Description: bacterial SSU rRNA
Rfam family: Bacterial small subunit ribosomal RNA
Source: RNAcentral
CCUGGAUUCAGCGGCGGACGGGUGAGUAAUGCCUAGGAAUCUGCCUGGUAGUGGGGGACAACGUUUCGAAAGGAAACGCUAAUACCGCAUACGUCCUACGGGAGAAAGCAGGGGACCUUCGGGCCUUGCGCUAUCAGAUGAGCCUAGGUCGGAUUAGCUAGUUGGUGAGGUAAUGGCUCACCAAGGCGACGAUCCGUAACUGGUCUGAGAGGAUGAUCAGUCACACUGGAACUGAGACACGGUCCAGACUCCUACGGGAGGCAGCAGUGGGGAAUAUUGGACAAUGGGCGAAAGCCUGAUCCAGCCAUGCCGCGUGUGUGAAGAAGGUCUUCGGAUUGUAAGCACUUUAAGUUGGGAGGAGGGUUGUAGAUUAAUACUCUGCAAUUUUGACGUUACCGACAGAAUAAGCACCGGCUACUCUGUGCCAGCAGCCGCGGUAAUACAGARGGUGCAAGCGUUAUCGGAAUUCUGGGCGUAAACGCGCGUAGGGGGUUGUUAAGUUGGAUGUGAAUCCCCGGGUCACCUGGGAACUGC